GUGAGAAAGACUCUCCUUGAAACGGGCCCGGAUGCUGCCUGCCCUUCUUUUCAGACACCCCCCUGGAGUUCAUCGGGCAAGACUGACACCACCUCCUGGCCCCCAAACUGUGCUCCAGAAAGAAAUUGUUAGUUGCGGAAUCAAACUGGCCAACUGGCUGCAAUCUCUGUGAACCGAACGCAGGUGGGACAUCUCCUUUGUGACUCUCACUUUGAAAGGUGCCCUGAGAGUAACAGGCUGAUGUGGGACCACGUUAAAGCUGCUUUGAGGCAGCGCCUGGGAACACGGUGACACCAAGGAGGGCAGAACACAACCUCAGAGCACGGUUCUCACCAGGCAUCUAGGCUCAGAGGCUGUCCUGCAUUCCAUUGAUCGCCUUCAGAGUGAGCUCUGCACAGGAUACGGAUGCCAGGACACUGCACGGAGCUACACCCGGCCCCUUGGGAGCCUGUUUGCACAGGUCACUUUCUACAUGGAGUCACGUGACAUGGAUCAACUCAUAACCCUACAAAGCAAGAGAACCAUCAAAGUGCAAUAUCGUAACAACCAAAUUUGUGUCUGCAACUCGUUAAAAAGAAGCUGUGUUCUACCUUCGUUUUCUACAGAAGCAGGCUGCAUGUCCAUCCUGAUAUUUUCACCCUAAACCUAAUACACUGCUUACCUAACGGAAAGAUUAUGCAGCGCAUAGCUGCCUUUAUUCUUUAGAAUGCGCUUUUUUUCAAUAUAAAUAGUGGCAAGAUUACUAUUUAGAAAUGAUCUUCCUUAGUUAGCAGAGCCCCAAAGCUAGUGGGCUUGUCCUUAUACCUUAUCUUUGCGUCUGAUGUUGAAUUACACAUCUCAACGAACCUCUCCACUGACAAGAAGCAAGAACAAGGUGAUGGGCUGAUGCGGGGUCAGUGCGUUUGCACACGUGACAUGACUGUUCUCGGGACACGUCUUUGCAGAGGGACGUCUGACUGACUGCAGAUCCACGUCCGCAGAGGCCCCCUGGUCCCGGUCCCAUGUGAAUCUGCACUUGGCUACACUGGGGCCCAUGUGCUCCUUUCCCUCACGCCUCUCAGUGGGAGGUGGAAAUGGGGGGGGGGAGUGCCUCAGCCCCUCCCUCGGCUCCAGCAUCCCUGCCACGUUAGCACCACGUGUGGCUGCAGAGCUUUACAACACAGCAGCCCUUUUUUCUGUUUCAUUGAGAAAUAACUGAUGUCCCUUACUGUAUACGUUCAGCAUAUGCUUAAGGCGUUCAGCCUGAUGGUGUGAUUCACACACGUUGUGAAAUGAUCACAGUAGGGUUAGCUAACAUCCCUUGCCUCAUAUAGAUACAAUAAAAAGGAAAGAAAGAAGAGGAAAAAUACUUUCUCCUUGUGACGAGGACUCUUGGGAUCUACCCUCUUCUCAACUUUCGUAUAUAACACAGAGCAGUGUUAAUUCUGUUUAUCGUGUGGGACAUCGCUUCCCUAGAACUAUUUUAUCUUGUAACUGGAAGUUUGUGCCUUUUGACCACCUUCAUCCAACCCCCUCCUUCCACCUCUUACCUCUGGUGACCACAAGUCUGAUCUCUUUUUCUCUGAGUUUGGUGUUUUAUUCGUUUUGUUUUGUUUAGAUUCCACAUAUAAGUGAGAUCGUAGGUAUUUGUCUUUCUCUGACUUAUUUCACUGAGCAUAAUGUC
Long non-coding RNA from Mesoplodon densirostris (Blainville's beaked whale), 1663 nucleotides. RefSeq lists it as uncharacterized. Lineage: Eukaryota; Metazoa; Chordata; Mammalia; Artiodactyla; Ziphiidae. The record is from RefSeq and is a predicted model, not a curated record. The transcript has 3 exons.